This 98-nucleotide non-coding RNA is filed under the name Hanusia phi. The record is from RNAcentral. Lineage: Eukaryota; Cryptophyceae; Pyrenomonadales; Geminigeraceae.
AAAAUUAUUAUCAAAAAACGAGGAAUGGGAAAGAAACAGGUCAAACUUUUGGAAGUUUGGUGUGUUAUUUAGCGGAUGCCUUUCCUUCCCUCUUGAUC